Molecule: long non-coding RNA, 3247 nt
Organism: Chenopodium quinoa (quinoa)
Lineage: Eukaryota; Viridiplantae; Streptophyta; Magnoliopsida; Caryophyllales; Amaranthaceae
Exons: 11
Source: RefSeq, a predicted model, not a curated record
CCCAAAGCAUUGUAUCUUUAGCGGAGAUGGAUUUACCAAAUUAAUAAAAUUGCUCUAACAUACCUUUCAAAAAAAAAGUACCUUCUACAAUUGCAAAUGUGGCAGUAUGACCCCCUAACUUAGAUUCAUAGUGUAAUUAACCCCCUUAACUUUACAAUGUGACAUUUAAACCCCAUUAGGUUUUAAAUACGUGAAAUUAAAUACAAAUUCAAUUUUCCGGCCAAAUUAUCACCGAAAAAUAAUGACAUGGUGUAAUCCCCCAUAUUUUCUUAGUAAAUAAUUAUAUAUAUUUUUAUGUAUAUGACUAUAUUAAUAAUUUUAUAUUUAUACAAUAAUUUUAUAUUUAUGCAAAAAUAUUUUUGGGAAGAUUUCACAAAAUAAAAACAAGAAUUUUUAAACCCAUACUUCCAUUUCAAUUAAGUAAACUUACCCCUUGUCUCUCCUCAUUCACAUUUACAAUUAAGGAAACUUGCUCCUUAUUUCCCCUUCUCAAAACCCUCGUAUAUUGCCUUCUACUGCUUCCCCUUAUUACUCCCUUUCCCUUGCUCCCUCCUCCUCCUUUCACGACUCACAAACAAAAAAAAAAAAAAAAAAAAAAAGUCUGCUGCUUCCUUUGUUGCGCUGCUGCUGCUGCUGCCUCAGCCGGAACCCACCACCACCGCAGUGCCGCCGGCGACCCUCGCCGCUGCCCUCAGCCCUACUGCCGCCGCCGGAGAGGACUUCGUAGAGGGUGACUUCUAGCCUUAAAGUGGCCAAUCAAUUUGUGUACUCAAGAUUAAUCACAGGUUUUUGCAUAAACUGAGUCGGGGUGAUGGGAUUUGAGUGGAGCGUUGGUUAAUUACUUAGCUUAUUUCAUACCAUAGAUUGAAUUUUAUUUUGGUUCAAAUUCUGUUUACUUCCUAUUUUACUGGAUUUUGAAUAAGGGCCGUUACGGUUCCAACUUGUAAGACUAAAUUGAGUUUUGACUUUUAGUUUUGAAACUUACAUUUUCUUUUAAAACUAAAUUAGUUUUCCGCUGCUGAUAUUUGAAACUAGCCUUAACGUUUGAACACGUGGCGGUAGCACUCCAAUAAUUCUUUCCCAGGUUAUGUCAGAUUACAGGUUAUACAGGUUAUGCAAGUUAAUACAGGAUUUUACAGGUUUUUGUAAAAAGAGAAUUAUUGGGGUGUUACACAUGGCACGUUAUGUAUAUCAGAUUUUGAUCGUUUUACUAUAUACACAAAUAAAUACAAUAAAAAUAUGUAUAUUUUACAAUUUCCAUUCAACUCAACAUUGCAGCUUGUGCCAUCAAGCUUAAUGAUUUUUUAGACAGUGCCAUCAUUUCAUGAUCUCUGGUUUAGUAGUUGAUGAGAGGAAUGUAAAAGCUUUGUUCAGGCGCAAAUGGAGUUAGGGGCUUUAAAGAAGGCCUAUGAAGAUCUCAAGAAAGCAAGGGAGAUAGAGCCAAUCAAUACUGAAUUACCCGUUUGGAAUUUUUUCAAUCAAGAGAUUCUGAGUUUGAAUUGAGCUAUAUCACUUUCCAUUAUACGGCUGUCUUUAUCUCAUCCAAGUAUCCAUGGUUGUCGAGCUUUUAUCCAACACAACAAACCUGGUGCAUUUUUUUAUCCAUUCGAUACAAUGCAAAAUUGUUGGUCUUUGGAUUAAGAGGGAAUUAUAUCCAAGGGUGGGUGCGUGGUUUCUUGAAGGUCUUGUUUCCGGUAGUAAAAAAAACUGCUGAGGACGGUCAAUUGAUUAUCCUAGCCGCUGGAGAGAAGCUGUUGCAUGAAUAUAAGUGGCUUGAACCUUUGGAGUCAGGUUUCAUUUAUGAUAAGCUUUGAGAGUCUAGCAGAAAUAUUUCAGGAAAUAAGGAACAAGGUACUGAAGAAUAGGGAUUUUUAUCUUCUGGUCGGAUGUGGGAUGAGCAGUACUCGACGAAGAAAAGCUAUACAUAUCACAGCAAUCAAGAAGAUCAUCGAACAAGAGUUCAUCAUCCCUGAUAUCCCUCCAUUUUUCAGAGAGAAAUGCUGCUGCUACUGCUGUUUUCUCUUAUCUCGCUUUCUCUCUCUAUAAUGGGUGUUUUUGAGGGUUUUUCAAAGAAUUUAGCAUUUGCUCAUGGGUUUUAAUUUCAUCGAAUACCUAUUUCACAAUCUUCUUAGGUGGUAGCAGCGGUACAAGAUGAGAGAUCGGUGCGUGCUACGGUGUUUGUAGCCUUGCGUCGAAAGUCUUCCUAACAAUGUAGAUGGUCAGGCAGCGGGUCCUGUGGGUGAUAACGGCGGUGCAAGAUGGUUUCGCUGAAGGGCAGGUCAUGAGUUAUGUGGUCCUUGGCUUGAGGGGAGGAUUGUUGGGAUUGGCAAUCCAAGUCCCACAUGGAAGAAAUGAGAAAGGGAUGACUUCCUUAUAAGGGGAAGCACACUCCAUUAGUAUGAGGCCUUUUAGGAAGAUGCCCAAAAACAAAUCCGUGCGGGCUAGGCCCAAACCCAAAGCGGACAAUAUCAUACUAAUGUGGUGCAGAGUGUGUGGGCGGCCCGACGAUGUGGGUGACCCGGGCUCAACAGAGUAUAAUUAACUACUUAGCUUUACCAAUUUGGCGCUAAUGACUAUCAUCUUAUUGAUUGAUCAACUAAUCAUGGCAGGCCAGACGCCCUCUAGGCGUUCUAAAUGUGAUUUCAGGUUAUGAACCAACUGCUGGUGCAACCCUCUGUUCUCACAUGAAUGUGGACAAGGAAGCAUUUCCUUCUGGUGCCUUAUGGUCUAUUAUUAAACAAGCAUUUUGAGAAAUUGACACAGUGUGAUACGCAUCUUAAUUUCCUGAGCCGGUAACCAGAAAUAAGUCUAGAUUCUCCAUACUUCGAUUUGCAGCCUUCUGUUUUUGACGACUCAAAUGAAUCUAAAAGUCAUAGCUUGGAUCAAAUAUAAACUAGCAGAGGACCUAGCAUCUCAAUCUUUGAAGAUGUUGGAAUACCUUUAUCCCAGUAAUCAUCUCUCUCAGUCAAACAAGUUAUGGAACAUCUGAGACUCUGUCUUGUGAAGCUACUUCUCCGAGCUCAGGUAUCCUUUUUAUCACCAUGUCUGCUACGAUUUAGACACCAUUGAUGUUGUUGUGUUUGUCCUAGACCUCUGUAUUUGGAGAUGGUGUCUGAAAUUUGGCAUGGAUUCCUCAACAAUUUUCUUGUUUAUUUUUCCCCCCGGGGGGGGGGGGGGUGGAGGAUGCCGAGAUUUAGUAUGUCUAUUACGAUUACUUUCAUAUAAGUUUACUAGCAAUAAAAUCAAA